CCCCUCCGCAGCGCUGGUUGCCACGGCGACAGCACCGCGCGGCGGCGCGCAGGACUGGUGGCUCUGGGGAGCGGGGCGCCCUCGUGCACCCCCAGACCCGGAGUCCCGUCUCCACCCUCCUCACCCACCGCCCAGAAUCCCAGGGUUCCUCCCAGUGCCCCCCGCGCCCUGAAACUCCGCUGCCGUCCCCUAGAGCGACCCCACUCAGCCAGACAGGGGCCCACCGGCCCAGGAGCUGGCAGGGACGUAGGCGCCGGGCUGGCCUGGCCGGCGGGGCCUCCGCGCCACCCUCUGUCCGCUUUGGGGAGAAAUCCAGUCUUCCCGGGUUUCUUCUCGGGGCAGAGGAAAGGAAUGAUGAGCGGCCCCCACCUUCUUCUCCAGCCCGUCCAGGAGGCAAGCGACGGUUUGGGGACUUGGGCUUCAUUUUGUCACUGAGGUGACACUGAGCCCCUCCACCCACAUCCUGUCCAUCCCGUGUGAGCCACAGAAGAACCCGAGGGCACCUUCUGCCUGCCUGCCCUCCUUCCCAGAACUGCGGUCACUUCCCUCUGACAUAGGAGGAGACUGAGGGUCAGAGAGCCCCUAGGUAUCCCACCAAAGCCACGACCAAGGCAUGGGGUUUACAAGCACCUAAAACACUGAGGCAGAAGAGCCUUCCUUUCCAGCCCCAGGAGAUGUGGUCCCGUGUUGCUGGAGAGAUGGUGGGCAGGGAGAAGCAGUAGAAAGCAAUCCAUGGACUGGGCGUGGUGUCUCACACCUGUAAUUCCAGCACUUUGGGAGGCCGAGGCGGGCGGAUUACCUGAGGUCAGGAGUUCGAGACCAGCCUGGCCAACAUGGUGAAACCCCCAUCUCUACUAAAAAUGUAAAAAUUAGCCGGGCGUGGUGGCACACACCUGUAAUCCCAGCUACUCGGGAGGCUGAAGCAGAAUUGCUUGAGUCUGGGAGACCGAGGUUGGAGACCGAGGUUGCAGUGAGCCAAGAUCGCACCACUGCACUCCAGCCUGGGCAACAGAGUGAGACUCCAUCUCAAAAAAUAUAUAAUAAUAAAAUAAAGCAACCCCAUGAAGUAGUGCAAGCCGUGCAUGAUGUACAAGUCUAAACCCUCGGCUGAGAACUGAACAAAAGGACAGCCCACUGCCCACGUCCCACACUGGCCACUGAGCAGUGCACACGAAGGACAGAUCUGAGUCCCACUGCAAAGGCUUUGAAAACAAAACCGACAUGGAAGGCAGGACCCACAGGAGCCUAUCUGAACUUGUGGCCUGAAACCAACUAGGCUGAUUGCAUGACAAAACAAAAUACCAACAUUCUCAAUGGGAUUUAAAUAAGACCAUUCUCAUAACAUAAUGUCUAAAUGUGCAGGAGACAAUCUAAAAUUACUCUGCAUGUGAAGGACCAGGAAAUCCAACCUGCAAGAGAAAAGACAAUCAACAGCCACCAAUGCCAAGAUGACCCAAAAACCCUCAACUAAUUAUCAGCAAAUAGAAUCAAGCAGCACUAAAAACACACACACGCAAGACUGGUUCAACAUGUGAAAAUAAAUCAAUGUGAUCCACCAGAUUAGUCUCAAGAAGAAAACCAUGUGAUCAUCUCAAUCAAUUCAAAGAAAGUAUUUGACGGAAUUCAAUACUCAUCCCUGAUAAACACUCUCAGCAAACUAGAAAGCAAAGGGAACAUGCCUAAUCUCAUAAAGGGAAUCUACAAACAGCAGCAACAAAAACAACAGGCCAGGCAUGGUGGCUCACCCCUGUAAUCUCAACACUUUGGGAGGCCAGGAGUUCAAGACCAGCCUGGGCAAUAUGGUGAAACCCCGUCUCUACUAAAAUCACACACACAAAAAAAUUAGCCGGGCAUGGCGGCCCAUGCCUGUAGUCCCAGCUACUCGGGAGGCUGAGGCAAGAGAAUCCUUUGAACCCGGGAGGUAGAGGUUGCAGUGAGCCAAGAUCGCGCCACUGCACUCCAGCUUGGGGGACAAGAGCAAGGACUCCGUCUCGGCCGGGCACGGUGGCUCACGCCUGUAAUCCCAGCACUUUAGGAGGCCGAGGUAGGCGGAUCACAAGGUCAGGAGAUCGAGACAACCCUGGCUAACAUGGUGAAACCCCGUCUCUACUAAAAAAUACAAAAAAAAAAAAAUUAGCCGGGCGUGUUGGCGGGCGCCUGUAGUCCCAGCUACUCAGGAGGCUGAGGCAGGAGAAUGGCGUGAACCUGGGAGACAGAGCUUGCAGUGAGUCGAGAUCACGCCACUGCACUCCAGCCUGGGCGACUGAGCAAGACUCUGUCUCAAAAAAAGACUCCGUCUCAAAAAAAGACUCCGUCUCAAAAAAAAAACAAAAAAAGAGCCCAGAGUUUCAGCAGUGGGUUGCACUUUCCUUGCGUUGGUGUCUCUUUGCAAAGCUGGUUUCACAGCAGUUGCUGUGAUCAAAAGCAAAUACUAGGCAAAAAUUAAUGUGGAUCAGAAAAUCCAGGUGAUGUCCAACCUAAUUAAGGUUUGCAAAAAUGUGCAGACCCCAACAGACCCAGACAUGCUGUAAGUAAUUCCAAUUAUUUUAAUAAUUAAGUUAAGGUUUUUUUUUUCAAUUUAUAUGACUUCUGUUUCCCCAAAACUGCUACUAAGUUGUUAGGACAUAAAUACUUAAGACAUUUGGCCCUAACGAACAGAACUGUUGGGUUUUUCUUUUGACCAAGGGGUGCUGUAAAGAAAUCACUGGGACACUAAGAUUAGGAUAAUGCCAGCUGCUGUCACACAGACCCCAAGAAGUGACUGCAGGGAGGGGCUGACAGUGGCUGCCACAUUCCACUAGUUCCUGAACACUCCAGGAUCUUCGAGGGCUGCAGUUUCUCCAUUACAUGCAGGACAGGAGCCGCCUGCCCACCUGGCCCAUGUGUACAAGGGUGACGCCAGGCAGGGCCACUCAGUAGAAGGCCCCAUCCACAAAGGGCACCAAUGAGGCCGUCCUCGGAGGAGACCCUGGCCCACGUGCGUUGUGCUCUCAGCUAAGACCCCUCGUCCACGGGCCCAGGGUGCUGGCUUUACUUCCCAGGACGGGCCUGCCGGUCCCUCUCCUUCGGGUAAGUGUUAGGGUGUCCGCCCUCCUGGGGCUGGCUUCUCCCAAAGUCUCUUCCUGCUGGUGCAGUCCUGGGGCCCAGGCUUUCUGCAGCCAGGCUCAGAUCUCUUUAGCAACUUGAUUCUAUCAAAAACCAGCAGUGGGGCUGGGCACAGUGGCUCACGCCCAUAAUCCCAGCACUUUGGGAGACCGAGCAGGCAGAUCACGAGGUCAGGAGAUUGAGACCAGCCUGGCUAACACGGUGAAAUACAGUCUCUAUUAAAAAUACAAAAAAUUAGCCGGGCAUGGUGGCAUGUGUCUGUAGUCCCAGCUACUCAAGAGGCUGAGGCAGGAGAAUUCUUUGAACCCAGGAGGCAGAGCUUGAAGUGAGCCGAGAUUGCGCCACUGCACUCCAUCCUGGGCGACAGAGCAAGACUCUGUCUCAAAAAAAAAAAAAAAAGUAGGCAUCUCCUCAGUGCCCGGCAGCCGCUCACCUAGCCGCCCACCUAGCAGUUCUGCCCCUCACUGUCAAUGACCACGCCCUAGGAGGAUGUUCACAGCAAGGUCCUGGCCCUUCGGUUAAUGGAGAGAUGUUAAAUUAAUAGGACUUUGUGGCUAAACGGCUCUUGAACUUCCUGUACUCUGGGGUCAUGAGCAGCAGGUUUUUCCCACAGGCAAGGCCCCGAACUCCCUCCCUCUCUACUGCCCUUUGUUUCUGCUCUCACACUGGCAAGGCCUUGCUCCAGCCCAUCUCCCAGGGGUGACAUGGAGCCAGGUGCAUAUGGCCCUUGCCAGUAACAUCCAGGCCUUUUCCUCCCUCUUCCCUGAAACUACAGGGCUGGCAGUGGUGUGUCUGCUUUCCAAGUCACUGGAGCACACUCUGAUCACAAUGCCGGCUUCAUGCCGGGGCCCCACCAGGCUGGCGACCCCUCCAGCCAGGCACCCCCGCCAGCCCAGAGCUCCUCCACCCCAGCGCCCCACCAGCCCAGUGCCCCCUCCAACACCCCAACCUGCCCAGCGCCCCCACCAGCCCAGGGCUCCGCCCGCCCAACAUCCCCCACCAGCCUGGCACCCCCGCCAGCUGGGUGUCCUCUCCAGCCUGGCGCCCCCACCAGCCCAGCGCCCCCUCCGGCCCAGUGCCUCCCCGAGCCUGGUGCCCCCCACCAGCGUGACAAGCCAUGGGUCCCCCACUUCAAGGCCCACAUUUUUUUAUUAGCUGAGGUCGUGGUAGCUGUUGUACCACUGCACUAAGUGCAUCUUUUUCUGUAGUUUUGAUGCUGACAUCUUGCCCAUUCCUCUGCCCCGACAACCCAGCUGCGUGGAGCAGCCCCCACUCUCUGUGAAUAAAAGAACUUUCUUCCUACAA
Molecule: long non-coding RNA, 4410 nt
Organism: Symphalangus syndactylus (siamang)
Lineage: Eukaryota; Metazoa; Chordata; Mammalia; Primates; Hylobatidae
Source: RefSeq, a predicted model, not a curated record